CAUGUCCUUUUGAUUAUAAUAUAAGGUUUACUCUGCCCACUGAUUUAUUUAAUGGCCGCGGUAUUUUAACUGUGCAAAGGUAGCAUGAUAAUUAGUUUUUUAAUUGAAAGCUGGGAUGAAGGAGUGGACAAGAGAAAUUCUGUCUCUUUAUUUAAUAUUGAAUUUUAUAUUUUAGUGAAAAAGCUUAAAUUUAUUCAAGGGACGAGAAGACCCUAUAGAGUUUUAUAUAAAGUAAGGUUUAACUUUUUAGGGGGUAUAUGAUUUUAAAAGUUUAUUUUGUAUUUGAUUGGGGCGAUUUGAGGAUUUAUAAAACUCCUUAUUUUUAUUACAUUGAUUUGUGGAUUGUUGAAUCGUUUUUUCGAUUGAAAGAUCAAAUUACCUUAGGGAUAACAGCGUGAUUUUUUAAUGAAGUUCUUAUUUUAAUAAAAGAUUGCGACCUCGAUGUUGGAUUAAAAUUAACUUAAGGUGUAGGUGCUUUAGGGUUAAGUCUGUUCGACUUUUAAAAUUUUACAUGAUCUGAGU
Molecule: ribosomal RNA, 522 nt
Filed under: Eucnemidae sp. UPOL 001328
Lineage: Eukaryota; Metazoa; Arthropoda; Insecta; Coleoptera; Eucnemidae
Description: partial 16S ribosomal RNA
Rfam family: Archaeal large subunit ribosomal RNA
Source: RNAcentral